Long non-coding RNA from Mauremys reevesii (Reeves's turtle), 2953 nucleotides. RefSeq lists it as uncharacterized. The transcript has 3 exons. The record is from RefSeq and is a predicted model, not a curated record. Lineage: Eukaryota; Metazoa; Chordata; Testudines; Geoemydidae.
GAGCCGGCCGUCCGCGGGGGGGAGAGGCGGGCGGGGCUGCCGCAGGAGCAGCUGCCGCCGCGGGGGCUCGCUGGGGGCCGGGCGAACGUAAGCGAGCCUCGCAGGGAGCGCUCGGCUCUGCCGCGCCCGCCCAGAAGGAAGGUUUCCAAGCGCUGCCUGCUGCUCCCGUCUCCGUGCUCCCCAGCAGGAGGCGGACGGACGGGCUGCGGGCGGGAGAAGCUCCUCCAGGCCCGCCUGCCCCCGCGAGAAGCGCUGGGGAGACGAGAUCAUUUCAUCUCCAGCCACCUGUGGGUCUUGCUGCACCAACUUCAUAGCUUACCGGCAACAAGCUUUGGCACAAAACUUCCCUUGGACAAAGUUUCUGGAGUCAGACCUACUGCAGUGAAGGAGUCAGAUGGGGACAGAAGAGUCAGAUGGUGUGAUCACCACAUUUAGAUAUUGUCAAUUGGCUCCUAACGGAGUGUUGCUAUCAAAGUCAUCUCCGAUCAGCCUCCCAUUGUGAAGACUUAUCUCUAUCUAUGUAUUUAUAAUAAACCACAAGAUUGGUCUCUACCUCACUUCUUUCCAUAUAUCCUACCCCAGUUCAGCUCUAAGGACUGCACAUUGUAUUCAAGGGUUGAAGCUGCCCUCUGAGAAGGGUCAUUCCAUGUAUCUGCUGGCAAGCUGCUCUCCCCACACUUUGUAUCCCGCACCAUGUGAGGGGACCAGAAGCAGCCCGGAAUGUAGAUGAAAUAACCACAGUGCCAUGAGCUGGUGGCUAGUUCUCCUGGGUAUCGGUCUGGUGCCUGGAUGAGCUAUUGCCACAUAAGCGAAGCAAAGGCUUUCCGACAAGGUCCCUCGUUCAUCUUCCAGAGGGAAGGAUGUCCUCAGCUAGCGGGUGGUGAAGAGAAGGUGAGGAGGAUGGUGCAAUCAUUUGCUACAAAAGAGUAACUCAAUGCAGACAUCUCCUUCCACUAGGCAUCUCUCUCUCUCUCUCUGUUGUUUUCUGACCUUCCCUGCCUCCUCCUCCCCUUGUCCAAGAACAAGAGUCUAAGAGCAAGAAGAGAAAAGCACAGCUGCAAAUUGAAUCAAUCCUCUUCUGGCAGGAAUGCCUGCCCAGCUGAGAGCGCUCUUUCCUAGACACAAAUCGGUACCAAAUGGAACAGAUGGAAGAAGGCCAGUGUGGGCCGGAGAGUCACAUACCCAGACCUUGAUGAGGAGUUUAAGAACUAGAAGCCUCGGCAGAUGGUUGAGACUGGUGUGAGGCACUGCCUGCAGCUCCCAGGGCUGACAGCCACCCAGCUUUGUAAAGGAGAAUGGGCAAACAGGCUAGGGUGAGGGUUAACUUUUGUCAGUGUGAAAAGGUAGGAGACUCCAACGUUCCCUGUCAGAGCUCAUGGGGGGCAGGACGGAUGGUCUUGUUUUGUAUUUAUAGCAUCAAGACACCUGGGUUCUUUUCCCCUGGCUCUGCCACAGUGAAUCUGUGGCACUUUAUGCAAGUCAUUGCCAGCUCUUCAUGCCUCAGUUUGACCAACCGUAACAUGGGAAUAACGAUACUGACCAAGAUGAUGAAUUCAUUCCUGUUUGUACAACACUUUGAGACCCUCCAGUGAAAGGUGCUGUAAAUGUGCAAAGCUGAGCUGGGCUUUGACAAGGCUGGCCAAUUGAGACAAUUGCUUUAGGAGAAAGAACGGUCCUGUGGCUUAAAUCAAAGCUAAGUACCCUGGAAAUGUGGGUUCAGUUCCUAGACUUGCCAUGUGGUCCUGUGUAAAUCACUUAGUUGUGCUUUGCUUCCUCAGAUGGAGAAUGUGAUGCUUCCUCAGGCUGCCUUGUCAAUAUAAGAUUUUCAGGGCAGGGACCAUCUCUUGCGUUAUGGUUGUACAGCACCUAGCACAAAGCGGGCCUUGAUCCCAGCGUGGGCCACUGGUGCUAUUGUAAUAUUAAUAAUCAUUAGCAUUAGCAUCGAUUGUGUGAACUGCUGAGAGCUAUAGUGGUGCUGCAAAAUCAAAAGCGGUACAUGAAAAAAGAACAAGUAGUGCUAUUUAUUGAGCACUGACAGUGUGCCCAGUGCUAUUCAGACCAUAGCGGCACAGUCCCUGCCAAUAGCUUACAAUUUAAAGAGGAGUUGGUAUUAUUAAAAUCACAACUUGCCUAGCAAGAACUAUGGCUUAUUGGUCACUCUCUAUUAGCCCCAAAAUAGCAAGCAAAAGGGGCCUGUGAUGACUAAUGGAGCCUGCAAAUGUAUCUCCAGCACUCAGUGGCUAUUAAUUUGUUUGUUUAACAUUGCCAGGAUUUCUGAGAAGUUCCGCACCAUAGCACGGUGUCUGAACAUGCAUUAUGUCAGUUAACAAUACGUCAACAUCUUAUCAGUCUGAACGCAGUGGGUAGGUUAGAGGGUGGUAACUGAAACCUAGCCCACUCGUGAUGAAAUUCAAGACCCUGGAUUGGGCCAGAGGCAGGAUCAGCAGCCAGUGCAAAGAGCAGAGCAUUGGCGUGUUAUGCUGUUGCCACUCUGCCCUAUUUAAAUGACAGCUCAGUGGCUUGUCACUAGUUGGAGUUUCCAGGUGGCCUUCGAAGUCAGCCCUAGUCCCAGCAAGCUGCAAUGGUUCACCCAGGCAGUGACCGAAGCCUGGAUCUCCAUAGUUAGGUCCCCACCCAAGAGGAAAGGGCAGCUGAAGAUGAGGAAAAGGUAUUAACAGACACAAGCCCAGGUUAACCAAUGUGCACUCGAUACACUUGCACCAGACCCACAUCUCGGGGAACCUCGACAACCAGACUUGGAGAGCCACUCCUUCAGCUGCCUCCCAGAACGCUGAAUCCGUUUCAUGACGCAGCGUGUCUGUGUCUGCCAAGGGACUGUGCAGUGCAACGAGAGGGCACACAAGGUGGCCAUGUGAUCCCUCACUGCUAUUCCUAGGCUCUGGGGAAGCUGAAGGAUUUUGUCACAUGAAACAAGAAGCACCCGAUUGCGGAA